UACGAAGGGUGCAAGCGUUGCUCGGAAUUAUUGGGCGUAAAGGGUUGGUAGGUGGUUGCGUAUGUCUGGGGUGAAAUCCCUGAGCUUAACUCAGGACGUGCCUUGGAAACGGCGUAACUAGAGUACUAGAGAGGUUCGUGGAAUUCUUGGUGUAGCGGUGAAAUGCGUAGAGAUCAAGAGGAACAUCAGCGGCGAAGGCGACGAACUGGAUAGUAACUGACACUGAACAACGAAAGCGUGGGGAGCGAACAGG
Molecule: ribosomal RNA, 253 nt
Filed under: uncultured bacterium
Lineage: Bacteria
Description: partial 16S ribosomal RNA
Rfam family: Bacterial small subunit ribosomal RNA
Source: RNAcentral